Molecule: ribosomal RNA, 497 nt
Filed under: uncultured bacterium
Lineage: Bacteria
Description: partial 16S ribosomal RNA
Rfam family: Bacterial small subunit ribosomal RNA
Source: RNAcentral
GAUGAACGCUGGCGGCGUGCCUAAUACAUGCAAGUCGAGCGAACGGACGAGAAGCUUGCUUCUCUGAUGCUAGCGGCGGACGGGUGAGUAACACGUGGAUAACCUACCUAUAAGACUGGGAUAACUUCGGGAAACCGUAGCUAAUACCGGAUAAUAUUUUGAACCGCAUGGUUCAAAAGUGAAAGACGGUCUUGCUGUCACUUAUAGAUGGAUCCGCGCUGCAUUAGCUAGUUGGUAAGGUAACGGCUUACCAAGGCAACGAUGCAUAGCCGACCUGAGAGGGUGAUCGGCCACACUGGAACUGAGACACGGUCCAGACUCCUACGGGAGGCAGCAGUAGGGAAUCUUCCGCAAUGGGCGAAAGCCUGACGGAGCAACGCCGCGUGAGUGAUGAAGGUCUUCGGAUCGUAAAACUCUGUUAUUAGGGAAGAACAUAUGUGUAAGUAACUGUGCACAUCUUGACGGUACCUAAUCAGAAAGCCACGGCUAACUACGUG